GCGGACGUGGCGAAACUGGUAGACGCAGCAGACUUAAAAUUUGCCGCCUUCGGGCUUGCGGGUUCGACCCCCGCCGUCCGCACCA
This 85-nucleotide transfer RNA is filed under the name Nitratireductor kimnyeongensis. RNAcentral's name for it is "tRNA-Leu". It matches the Rfam family "tRNA". From Rfam's summary of the family: Transfer RNA (tRNA) molecules are approximately 80 nucleotides in length. Their secondary structure includes four short double-helical elements and three loops (D, anti-codon, and T loops). RNAcentral also lists the same sequence under 9 other names. The record is from RNAcentral. Lineage: Bacteria; Pseudomonadati; Pseudomonadota; Alphaproteobacteria; Hyphomicrobiales; Phyllobacteriaceae.